Molecule: ribosomal RNA, 490 nt
Filed under: uncultured bacterium
Lineage: Bacteria
Description: partial 16S ribosomal RNA
Rfam family: Bacterial small subunit ribosomal RNA
Source: RNAcentral
AUUGAACGCUGGCGGCAGGCCUAACACAUGCCAGUCGAACGGUAACAGGAAGAAGCUUGCUUCUUUGCUGACGAGUGGCGGACGGGUGAGUCAUGUCUGGGAAACUGCCUGAUGGAGGGGGAUAACUACUGGAAACGGUAGCUAAUACCGCAUAACGUCGCAAGACCAAAGAGGGGGACCUUCGGGCCUCUUGCCAUCGGAUGUGCCCAGAUGGGAUUAGCUAGUAGGUGGGGUAACGGCUCACCUAGGCGACGAUCCCUAGCUGGUCUGAGAGGAUGACCAGCCACACUGGAACUGAGACACGGUCCAGACUCCUACGGGAGGCAGCAGUGGGGAAUAUUGCACAAUGGGCGCAAGCCUGAUGCAGCCAUGCCGCGUGUAUGAAGAAGGCCUUCGGGUUGUAAAGUACUUUCAGCGGGGAGGAAGGGAGUAAAGUUAAUACCUUUGCUCAUUGACGUUACCCGCAGAAGAAGCACCGGCUAACUCCGUG